This is a non-coding RNA of Oryctolagus cuniculus (rabbit), 2758 nucleotides long. The record is from RefSeq and is a predicted model, not a curated record. NCBI's taxonomy places the organism in Eukaryota, Metazoa, Chordata, Mammalia, Lagomorpha, Leporidae.
AGCCACAGGGCAAGCUGACCUCUCUUUACCCCUUCCCGGACCCCUGCUGUCUGCCCAUCUUCCCUCUGUGUGGCUGUCCCAGGGCUUCUCAAGCUCAGCACCAUUGACAUGGAGGGCAGGAUGACCCGUGGAUGGGGGGGGGGGGGGAGGCUGUCCUGUGCCCUGUGCGGUGCUCAGUAGCCUCUUUGACCUCUACCCACCUGCCUGUAGUGCACUCCCCCACCCCCCCCAUUGUGGAGACCUAGUGUCUCUAGACAUCACCGGGAGUUCUCUGCGACAGGACUGCUCUGAACUGAGCAGCUUACCUGCCCUCCAGGUGUGGUCUUGAGAAGAGCUAACUCCUAGGUGUCUAAUUCUCCCAUCAGCCCCUCUGCAAGGCCCCUGCCCCAGCACGGCUUCAACCUCCCUAACUGGAAAGCCAAAGAGACUGGGAGAGCGACUGAGCUCAGAGAGAGGGUCUGAAGGACUGCUGAAGCCCUCACAGAACUUCUGCUACCCUCACAGAGCUUCUGCUUUUGCUCCAUGCAGAAGACCCUGCAGGCAGCUCUGCAGGCUCAGCCAAGGUCCCAGGAGAUGUAAGCGGCAGUGAUGCCAAGUUGCUUCUACUUCAGAAAAGACAAAGCAGCAGCGAAGACACCCAGCCCCCUGCUCACUUUCUCAGGCUUGAGAGAGCUCAUCAGACAUUCUCUGGUGGGCCCACUUCCACCCCUCCUGAGUUGGGAGCCCUGUGCAGGCACUGGAGCAACCUAGCCCCAUGUCUCCAGGAGCUGAGCCUUAGUAAACAAAAGGCCUGGCUGGGGGUUUCUCAUGGUGCCUGGCAACUCCAAGGCCUUAGCAACCUCAGUCGCCACUCCUAGGCAGGAAGGAGGAAACGUCCCUCAGCAAGGCGACCACAAAGCAAAUAGCAAUGCGCUGAGGCUCUGAACUAAAUAAAGGAAGCGUUCAGGCUAGAAAAGGAGAGAUUCUGGUGAGACUUCAAGAAAGACUUCCUGGCCUACCUGGAGGGAGACUAACACAGGCACUGUGAGCCAGGUGCACUAGCAGAAAGCUGGACCUGAAGCAGAGUAGCCGGGACUCCAACUACGCACUCCCAUGUGUUGCUGUGGAUUCGUUCUGAGAGGAGGAGUGCAGUGGGGGCAAGAGGCACGGAAUCACCACCACACAGACCCUGGGAGUCGGUGAAAGCAGGCCAGAGAGAUCAACAACAGAACAAGCCACUGUAACUUUGACCAGAAUGUUGGGUUUGGUUCUGCAAAGCAGAGAUGGAGUAAAUGGGCCUUGGUUGGUCUAAGCAAUAGCGAAGCUCUUUGCUAUGGCCUGGGAAAGCAGUGGAAGACAGCCCAAGUCCUUGGGCCCCUGCACCUGUGUGGGAAACCUGGAAGCUCCUGGCUUCUGGCUUCAGAGCUCUGACCUUUGUAGCCAACUGGGAAGUGAACCAGCGUAUGGAAGACUUCUCUCUCUCUCUUCCUCUCCUUCUCUCUCUGUGUAACUCUGACUUUCAAAUAAAUAAAUAAAUCUUUAAAAAAAAGUAAUCAGAAGUAAAUCCACAAAUUUUAGAAAUCCAUACAAGACAUGAAUGAACAUUUUUCCCAUGAAACUGAGAUUUCAAAGAAAAAUCAAAAUGAAAUAUUGCAAAUGAAGAAUUCAAUAGAUCAAAUAAAAAAUGUGGUGGAAAGGCUUAACAACAGAAUUGGUGAGGCAGAAGGAAGAAUAUCCGAGUUAAAAGACAUAUCUCUGGAAAUUUUACCAGUGGGUAUAUCAUACAAAAAAAAAAAAAAAAAGAAAGAAAGAAAGAAAAAAGAAAUUAGAAAACUAAAAAGCAGUGUUGGGGAUUUAUGGGAUACUAUCAAAUGACUCAACAUAUCUUAGGAGUUCCUGAAGGCAUGGAAAAAGAGAAUGGAUUAGAAGGCCUUUUUAGUGAAAUAAUUACAGAAAACUUCCCUAAUUUGGAGAAAAAAAGGGAUGUCCAGGAAGCACAUAGAACUCAUAAUAGACAUCACCAGAAAAUAUCUUCCCCAUAACACAUUAUAGUCAAACUCUCCACAAUAAAGCAUAAAGAUUCUAAAAUGUGCAUGAGAGAAAUUCCAGAUUACUUUCAAAGGAUCUCCAAUAAGAUUCACAGCUGACUUCUCAUCAGAAACCCUAUAAGCUAGGAGAAAAUGGUGAGAUAUAAUCCAAGUCUUAAGAGAAAAAAACUGUCAACUCAGACUACUGUACCCUGCAAAGCGCUCAUUUAUGAAUGAAGGUGAAAUAAAGACCUUCCAUAACAAACAGAAUUUGAAAGAAUUUGUCAUCACUCAUACAGCCUUACAAAAGAUGCUUAAGGAUGUGCUACACACAGAAACAUGGUCAUCACUAUGAAAGAAGAGGAAGGCAGAAAAUCUCCCAGUAAAAGUACAAAUGAAAUCCAAAGUAAACAAUAGGAACAUUUAUGGAAAAAUGGCAGGGAAAUUGAACUUAUUCUGGGUUUUCUUCUGUAGUUCCUUAGAUUUCAGAAUACCCUGACACUGGGAAUCUAGUCACAUAUUAACACAAUCUGGUUUUGAAUCUUUUAAAAAAGAAUGCAUUGAUUAUACUGGACCAUCUUUUUUUUUCCUUCUCUUAUUACAUACCAUUUGUAUGAUUACAGUGUUAAGUCUUAGUUCUUAUGUCUGAGCAGAAGAGUGUAUCAGUGGGGCCAGGGCUGUGGUGCAGUGAAAGCCCUGGCCUGAAGCGCCAUCAUCCUUUGUGGGCACCGGUUCUAGUCCUAGCUGCUCCU